This 535-nucleotide long non-coding RNA is filed under the name Numida meleagris (helmeted guineafowl). RNAcentral describes it as "lncRNA (ENSNMEG00000015223.1)". The record is from RNAcentral. Lineage: Eukaryota; Metazoa; Chordata; Aves; Galliformes; Numididae.
AUGUUUUGGUUGUUACUGAGUGAUGGGAGUGCACCUGGAAAUGGGACCAGGCCACUCACUGGACAAGAGAGGCUGUCUUUACAGCAGGGUAGCAGAGGAUGGAGCACAGACAGGACAGCUGGCCUGAAUUAGGCAAGGAGUUAUUCCAUACCAUGUGACAUCAUGCAGAAGGUCAUAAAGCUGUGAGGAGUUGGCUUAGGGACAGGCUGCUUCUUAGAGAUUGUCUGAGUAUCAGUCGGCUGGUGAUGAGACACUCAGCUGCUAGAUGGAUGUUGGUCAGUCAGCAGUUGUAUUGCUAGCUGGGCAUCAGUUGUUAGGAGGUCUGGAUGCUUCUUCACAUUAACUGCAGAAACUUUUCCUGUAUGAAAAUGUCAGAAAGUGGAAGUGUAUGUAAAAUUAGAAACCGGGAUCAUAAAGCGGAAGUUAGGUUGCUGCAUUUUCAGAGACAGAUGAAGCAAAAUGUUCCACUGGGAGUAUUCAGCCCCAGUGCCUUGCUGUAUUACGGCAUAUGGAGUUGCAUCUCCAGGCGCUGACA